Molecule: transfer RNA, 69 nt
Filed under: Lunella aff. cinerea STW-2013
Lineage: Eukaryota; Metazoa; Mollusca; Gastropoda; Trochida; Turbinidae
Description: tRNA-Arg
Source: RNAcentral
UGAUAAGAAGUGAGAAAAUUACGUGCGGUUUCGGCCCGUUUAUUGGUAGUGAAAGUCUGCCCUUAUUGA